UCCCUUGUAGCUCAGUCGGUAAAGAAUCUGCCUGCCGUGCAGGAGACCUGGGUUCGAUCCCUGGGUUGGGAA
Molecule: transfer RNA, 72 nt
Filed under: Ovis aries (sheep)
Lineage: Eukaryota; Metazoa; Chordata; Mammalia; Artiodactyla; Bovidae
Rfam family: tRNA
About the family: Transfer RNA (tRNA) molecules are approximately 80 nucleotides in length. Their secondary structure includes four short double-helical elements and three loops (D, anti-codon, and T loops). Further hydrogen bonds mediate the characteristic L-shaped molecular structure. tRNAs have two regions of fundamental functional importance: the anti-codon, which is responsible for specific mRNA codon recognition, and the 3' end, to which the tRNAs corresponding amino acid is attached (by aminoacyl-tRNA synthetases). tRNAs cope with the degeneracy of the genetic code in two manners: having more than one tRNA (with a specific anti-codon) for a particular amino acid; and 'wobble' base-pairing, i.e. permitting non-standard base-pairing at the 3rd anti-codon position.
Source: Rfam by way of RNAcentral